RNAcentral lists this long non-coding RNA (1318 nucleotides) under Homo sapiens (human). RNAcentral's name for it is "non-protein coding lnc-TTC17-3:1". The stretch from base 893 to 982 matches the Rfam family "mir-670 microRNA precursor family". Lineage: Eukaryota; Metazoa; Chordata; Mammalia; Primates; Hominidae. The record is from RNAcentral.
GGGUGCAGCUGGCUGGGUCAUCAAAUUAACAUGAGAAGGGAAUCGUUUUCAGCAGGGAAGUAGGAGAUUUGGGGAGGGUGCUUGGAAGAUAGAAUCAGCAUGCUAUUGCCACCCCCCACCCCAAAUAACCAAAAGGCAAGGAGUACAGACAUAGAAAUGGGAAGUGAAAUGUUGGUAUAGACUGUGAUUAAGCCUGCUGUUGGUAUGAAGUGCUGUCUCACUAAAUAAAGCAGAGUGGAUGGUGGCUGCAUCCCUGGAUCUGCCGGUGUGAAGUAAAACCAGGUCAGCUGGCCUGACACCCACUGUCCAUAUCACUGAAGGUCCUGCUCCAAGAAGGGGGAUGGAGAGUCUUCCACAGCCCGGAAAGCAUCAGGUUUCUUUGUGUUGCACUUCUCAGAAGGAAAUUGUUUCUGUUUAUUGCUUAAGUCAACAAGUAUUUGUCUCCCUUUGAUAUAAAUGCUGUGGGGGAAGUGGUUACAAGAAAAAAAAAUCUGGUCCUGGAAUUAUAGCCAUCUGCUCUCCACAGUCCUCCAAGACUGUCAGUAUCUCUCUUUACUCUGAGCUGUGGUCUUCUAGGGACCAAGUUCCAGAAGAAUAGCACCUAAAAAGUAUUUCAUGUCCAUCAGCCUUCCCCGGAGAUCCAUGGAAAGACCACCUCUCUCAGGUUCUACCAGGUGCCCAAGCACUUGUCACAUGCAGACAUGUAUGUGCAGUGUACAUGCACAUAUAUGUGCAAAAACCACAACAGUAUGCAUGUGGGUACCCAGGGUUCUCUCCACAUGAGAACCCACGAGAGCCCACGUCAGCUCAUGAGCCACAUACACAAGGAAACAGACCUUCUUCCUCUCUGUCAAGUCCGAAGAUGCCAGCUGAGACGUUCUUCAUCCAGUUUAGGGGUGGACCUGAUGUCCCUGAGUGUAUGUGGUGAACCUGAAUUUGCCUUGGGUUUCCUCAUAUUCAUUCAGGAGUGUCAGUUGCCCCUUCACGCGACGUUGGAGAGCAUUACAGCAAGCAGGUGUCUACUCAUUUAUGGCAAGAAUGAAGUCCGACUUUUAUCUUCAUCACCUUGGAUGAGCCCUGGUGCUUGCCCUGUUUCUCAAAAGAAACCUAAGGGCAGGGGCAGAACUGGUUAUAGAAUUCAUGGAACCUGGCACAAAAUGAACACGUAGGGCCCCUUGUUCAAAAAGCAGGAAGAAAGUGCCUAAAUAUAAUGCCUUUGUCUUUCUUCCACAAUCUCUCUCUAGAAUCGUCAUGGUGGUUUUUUAUUUGCUGUUUUUCAUGUGGUGCUAAAUAAAAAUAAAAAUUUUAAAUUUUUAGC